Long non-coding RNA from Populus trichocarpa (black cottonwood), 484 nucleotides. RefSeq lists it as uncharacterized. NCBI's taxonomy places the organism in Eukaryota, Viridiplantae, Streptophyta, Magnoliopsida, Malpighiales, Salicaceae. The record is from RefSeq and is a predicted model, not a curated record. The transcript has 2 exons.
CUGAAUGAAAUAAAAAUCGAAUCAACACUAAAGCCCAAUAACAUGAAAGUUGUGAAGGCCACUGUCAGUACAAACAAUUCAAUAGGGCUUAAAGUCCACAAAACGUUAAAAGCAAUCAAAGAAGUCCAAAACUGAUACCCAAACUUGUUCUUGGUGAUGAUUCCUCCACUCGCUCUGCUCCACCCUACUGUUAGGGAUUAGGAGUUGCUAGAAUUGAAUGAUCUUCAAAAACAUUGCAGAGGUAUAUGCUUACCCUCAUUUUCUUGGCGAUUGCUUUCAUGAAACAGAGAGGCUCGGACUUCAUUCUGAUUUGAGACUGCAUAGAAGUGGAGGUCACUCAUGCUUCGCAUAUUAGAUCUUCCUUUCUACGGAUUGUUUAUACUAGUCGAAGUAUUCAAAACAUAAAAAUUUGUUUAACUUAGAGAUUAUCGGAGGAUUUGUAAAGUUUCCAUGGCUUAAGAUACUUCCAGUAACCUUCAUCCUA